This is a long non-coding RNA of Leopardus geoffroyi (Geoffroy's cat), 917 nucleotides long. RefSeq lists it as uncharacterized. The transcript has 3 exons. NCBI's taxonomy places the organism in Eukaryota, Metazoa, Chordata, Mammalia, Carnivora, Felidae. The record is from RefSeq and is a predicted model, not a curated record.
GUGAUGGCUACAUUGUCAAUGCCCUCACAAACUUUUCUUUCUUAGUGCUUCCAGAAAUAUCGGUGUCUGCCUUCGGUGGCAUGGUGGACUGACUCUAAUAUCAACCAAGCACUUCCUCGGACCAUUCAUUCAUUUAGCAAAGCAGUUACUGAGUGUGGCAGGCAGUUCCCAGCAUGCAACACAAGCCCACCCACUAUGUUGAUCCAGUGACAGCCCAGUAAGCGCGGCAGGAUGAAGGAAGGUUUUCUCCACCCUGGCAACAGCCCAGCCAAUGACAGAGGGUACAGCCAGCCAAUGAGAGACCAACACAACCCAGCCAAUGAGAGACCUCACAGCCCAGCCAAUAGGAAGCCGCCACCACCCCGAACCCUGGCUGCCGUCUGUUUUGUUUCUAUUUACUGAAGCUUCUUGGUACCUCACCAUCCUACUCAAAAUGGAUAAAACAUGUGAUUCCCAGUGAUUUGGAACAGCUGUUGGCAGACAGCGACCCUCAUAGUUGAGACAUUUUAGGGAAUCCAAAGGCAAGAUAGGUUCCACCUGGUCUUUGGACCAGGCUUUUGUGCUUUUCCGGAAAAAUAGCCUUUGAAGAUGCAACAGGAAGAGCCCUACCUUGCAUUCAGUCAGGACCAAGUUCGCUUUACCACCCCUGCAGGAGGAAGAAAGAUUUUCUUCUGACCUGGCAACAGCCCAGCCAAUGACAGAGGGCACAGCCAGCCAAUGAGAGAUGGUCACCACCCUGAACUCUCGCUUUCAUCCAAUGGACUUUUGUUCAAAGCAGCCCCUCACAACUUCCUCCUUUUUCUCUAUAAAGAGACAUUUCUCUGCUUUGUUUUCCAGACUUGCCCAUGGGUUGACAUAGUUUGUGUGUCCCCAAUUGCAGUUUCUCUGCUAUUCCUGAAUAAACCCAUUUUGCUUGU